AUCCAGCUAACGAGUCCCAAAUAGGAUGAAACGCGCAUCCUGGAU
This 45-nucleotide non-coding RNA is filed under the name Schistosoma bovis. The record is from RNAcentral. RNAcentral also lists the same sequence under 1 other name. Lineage: Eukaryota; Metazoa; Platyhelminthes; Trematoda; Strigeidida; Schistosomatidae.